ACCAAGCCGUAGCCCUGGCUU
Molecule: unclassified non-coding RNA, 21 nt
Filed under: Mus musculus (house mouse)
Lineage: Eukaryota; Metazoa; Chordata; Mammalia; Rodentia; Muridae
Description: oocyte_clustered_small_RNA11771
Source: RNAcentral